This 469-nucleotide ribosomal RNA is filed under the name uncultured bacterium. RNAcentral describes it as "SSU rRNA". It matches the Rfam family "Bacterial small subunit ribosomal RNA", at positions 26 to 518 of the family's 1533-position model. The record is from RNAcentral.
AGGACGAACGCUGGCGGCGUGCUUAACACAUGCAAGUCGAGCGGAAAGGCCCUUCGGGGUACUCGAGCGGCGAACGGGUGAGUAACACGUGAGCAACCUGCCCUUAGCUCUGGGAUAGCUCCGGGAAACCGGAAUUAAUACCGGAUAUGACACCGGCCGACAUCGGCCGGUGUGAAAAGAAUUUCGGCUAGGGAUGGACUCGCGGCCUAUCAGCUUGUUGGUGGGGUAAUGGCCUACCAAGGCGACGACGGGUAGCCGGCCUGAGAGGGCGACCGGCCACACCUGGGACUGAGACACGGCCCAGACUCCUACGGGAGGCAGCAGUGGGGAAUCUUGCGCAAUGGGCGAAAGCCUGACGCAGCGACGCCGCGUGGGGGAUGAAGGCCCUAGGGUUGUAAAGCUCUUUUGUGCGGGAAGAUAAUGACGGUACCGCAAGAAUAAGCCCGGCUAACUUCGCGCCAGCAGCCGC